UACGUAGGGUCCGAGCGUUGUCCGGAAUUAUUGGGCGUAAAGGGCUCGUAGGCGGUUCGUCACGUCGGGAGUGAAAACUCGGAGCUUAACUCCGAGCCUGCUUCCGAUACGGGCAGACUAGAGGUAUGCAGGGGAGAACGGAAUUCCUGGUGUAGCGGUGAAAUGCGCAGAUAUCAGGAGGAACACCGGUGGCGAAGGCGGUUCUCUGGGCAUUACCUGACGCUGAGGAGCGAAAGUGUGGGGAGCGAACAGG
This 253-nucleotide ribosomal RNA is filed under the name uncultured bacterium. RNAcentral describes it as "partial 16S ribosomal RNA". It matches the Rfam family "Bacterial small subunit ribosomal RNA", at positions 524 to 776 of the family's 1533-position model. The record is from RNAcentral.